Patella vulgata (common limpet) is the source of this 619-nucleotide long non-coding RNA. RefSeq lists it as uncharacterized. The transcript is spliced from 3 exons. Lineage: Eukaryota; Metazoa; Mollusca; Gastropoda; Patellidae. The record is from RefSeq and is a predicted model, not a curated record.
GACCGUAAGUCAUUAGUGAAACUUGUGGUGGAGUGAGUGGAACGAUGCAGUUUUAGGGAAGGAAUAUUUGAAAGAUUUUUAUUCGUUGCUGAUCAAGCAGUCGCCGGAUAUUAUUAUUAUCUAUCUGAAGAUAUAACUGUCGGCCUAUGUCCAUAUUUAAAUAUGGCCACAGAUGGAACACUGAAUAGUACUGGAGGGCUAGUCUCAAUUUUGAGAGAAUUUUCAAGAAGUGUGGAAAAAUUAACUAAUACAGUGUUAUUUCCCGUUCGUCUUCAAGAUCUAGAUGAUUUGGAACAAACCGAAAAAACCGAAAUUGCCGAAAUAAUUAAGCAUUGUUUCAAUGAGAAAAACCAAGAAGCCAACCUAUACGAACUCUACCUGUUACUGCUGAACACCAGAAGUGAGCUUUUAACCGGAACUGACGUAAAUGGAUUACCGGCAAGUGGUAAUACCACCUUUCACUCGGACUUGAAGAGAAUGGCGCAUAUGUUAAAAAUGCUAACCGGUUUGUCUGAUAGUGUACGACUUUGUUACGAGGAAUCUAUUGCCCCCGCCAGACUUACUUAAUCGAACAUCGACAAUGUGAUAUUUCUAAUAAAUUUCACUAUCUCUAUAACAA